GUGGGGAAUCUUGCGCAAUGGGCGAAAGCCUGACGCAGCCAUGCCGCGUGAAUGAUGAAGGUCUUAGGAUUGUAAAAUUCUUUCACCGGGGACGAUAAUGAUGGUACCCGGAGAAGAAGCUCCGGCUAACUUCGUGCCAGCAGCCGCGGUAAUACGAAGGGGGCUAGCGUUGCUCGGAAUUACUGGGCGUAAAGGGCGCGUAGGCGGACAGCUUAGUCAGAGGUGAAAGCCCAGGGCUCAACCUUGGAAUUGCCUUUGAUACUGGCUGUCUUGAGUUUGGGAGAGGUGAGUGGAACUCCGAGUGUAGAGGUGAAAUUCGUAGAUAUUCGGAAGAACACCAGUGGCGAAGGCGACUCACUGGCCCGAUACUGACGCUGAGGCGCGAAAGCGUGGGGAGCAAACAGGAUUAGAUACCCGGGUAGUCC
RNAcentral lists this ribosomal RNA (425 nucleotides) under uncultured bacterium. RNAcentral's name for it is "partial 16S ribosomal RNA". It matches the Rfam family "Bacterial small subunit ribosomal RNA", at positions 354 to 796 of the family's 1533-position model. The record is from RNAcentral.